CCUACGGGUGGCUGCAGUGGGGAAUAUUGCACAAUGGGGGAAACCCUGAUGCAGCGACGCCGCGUGAGUGAAGAAGUAUUUCGGUACGUAAAGCUCUAUCAGCAGGGAAGAAAAUGACGGUACCUGACUAAGAAGCCCCGGCUAACUACGUGCCAGCAGCCGCGGUAAUACGUAGGGGGCAAGCGUUAUCCGGAUUUACUGGGUGUAAAGGGAGCGUAGGUGGCAGGGUAAGUCAGAAGUGAAAACCCGGGGCUAAACCCUGGGAUUGGUUUUGAAACCUUUCAGCUGGAGUGCAGGAGGGGUAAGCGGAAUUCCUAGUGUAGCGGUGAAAUGCGUAGAUAUUAGGAGGAACACCAGUGGCGAAGGCGGCUUACUGGACUGUAACUGACGCUGAGGCUCGAAAGCGUGGGGAGCAAACAGGAUUAGAUACCCGAGUAGUC
RNAcentral lists this ribosomal RNA (440 nucleotides) under uncultured bacterium. RNAcentral describes it as "partial 16S ribosomal RNA". It matches the Rfam family "Bacterial small subunit ribosomal RNA", at positions 338 to 795 of the family's 1533-position model. The record is from RNAcentral.